AUGGAUAAACAAAUGAUAAAGAUUGGCUUAUUGAAUAUCAGAUCCAUUUCUACGAAAACACUUUUUGUAAAUAAUAUGAUAACUGAUCAUAAUAUAGAUGUGCUCUGUUUGACAGAAACUUGGCUAAAACCUGAUGAUUACAUUAUUUUAAAUGAGUCCACCCCCCAAGAUUAUUGUUAUAAACACGAGCCGCGUCUAAAAGGCAAAGGGGGAGGAGUUGCUUCAAUUUAUAACAACUAUUUCAGGAUUUCUCAGAGGGCAGGCUUCAAGUAUAACUCGUUUGAAGUAAUGGUGCUUCAUAUAACAUUAUCCAGAGAAACCAAUGUUAAUGAUAAAUCCCCUGUUAUGUUUGUACUGGCUACUGUAUACAGGCCACCAGGGCACCAUACAGACUUUAUUAAAGAGUUUGGUGAUUUUACAUCCGAGUUAGUUCUGGCUGCAGAUAAAGUUUUAAUAGUUGGUGAUUUUAAUAUCCAUGUUGAUAAUGAAAAAGAUGCAUUGGGAUCAGCAUUUAUAGACAUUCUGAACUCUAUUGGUGUUAGACAACAUGUUUCAGGACCUACUCAGUGUCGAAAUCAUACUCUAGAUUUAAUACUGUCACAUGGAAUUGAUGUUGAUAGUGUUGAAAUUAUGCAGCCAAGUGAUGAUAUCUCAGAUCAUUAUUUAGUUCUGUGUAAACUUCAUAUAGCCAAAAUUGUAAAUUCUACUUCUUGUUACAAGUAUCGAAGAACCAUCACUUCUACCACAAAAGACUGCUUUUUAAGUUAUCUUGUUGAUGUAUCCGAAUUCCUUAGCAUAUCCAAAACCUCAGAACAACUUGAUGAUGUAACAGAAACUAUGGACUCUCUCUUUUCUAGCACUUUAAAUACAGUUGCUCCUUUACGCUUAAGGAAGGUUAAGGAAAACAGUUUGACACCAUGGUAUAAUGAGCAUACUCGCACCCUAAAGAGAGCAGCCCGAAAAAUGGAGCGCAGCUGGAGGAAAACAAAACUAGAGGUAUUUCGUAUUGCUUGGCGGGAAAGUAGCAUAUCCUAUAGAAAAGCAUUAAAAACUGCUAGAUCUGAUUAG
Molecule: long non-coding RNA, 1068 nt
Filed under: Carassius auratus (goldfish)
Lineage: Eukaryota; Metazoa; Chordata; Actinopteri; Cypriniformes; Cyprinidae
Description: lncRNA (ENSCARG00000041679.1)
Source: RNAcentral